This 1607-nucleotide ribosomal RNA is filed under the name Rhabdolaimus cf. terrestris JH-2004. RNAcentral's name for it is "SSU rRNA". It matches the Rfam family "Eukaryotic small subunit ribosomal RNA". The record is from RNAcentral. Lineage: Eukaryota; Metazoa; Nematoda; Enoplea; Enoplida; Rhabdolaimidae.
GGUAAUUCUGGAGCUAAUACACGCAAACAAGCUCAGACCUUAKGGAAUGAGCGCAUUUAUUAGAACAAAAACCAAUCGGAUYUCGGUCCGUCAUUUGGUGWAUCUGAAUAACUUUGCUGAUCGCACGGUCAUCGUACCGGCGACAUAUCUUUCAAAUGUCUGCCUUAUCAACUUUCGAUGGUAGUUUAUGCGCCUACCAUGGUUGUAACGGGUAACGGAGAAUAAGGGUUCGACUCCGGAGAGGGAGCCUGAGAAACGGCUACCACAUCCAAGGAAGGCAGCAGGCACGCAAAUUACCCACUCCCGGCACGGGGAGGUAGUGACGAAAAAUAACGAGACGGCUCGCUAUGCGGUCCGUCAUCGGAAUGGGUACAAUUUAAAUCCUUUAACGAGGAUCUAUUGGAGGGCAAGUCUGGUGCCAGCAGCCGCGGUAAUUCCAGCUCCAAUAGCAUAUAUUAAAGUUGUUGCGGUUAAAACGCCCGUAGUUGGAUCAGCGGAUUUGGRGAACGGUCUCCCGAUGGGCUGUACUGUUCUCCUGUCCUAAUUUCUCUAGUUCGCUCUAGGUGCUCUUUACUGAGUGUCUAGAGUGGCUGGAACUUUUACUUUGAAAAARUUAGAGUGCUCAAAGCAGGCGUCUCAGCCUGAAUAGUGGUGCAUGGAAUAAUGGAAUAGGACCUCAGUUCUAUUUUGUUGGUUUUCGGAGCAUGAGGUAAUGAUUAAGAGGGACAGACGGGGGCAUUCGUAUUGCGACGUUAGAGGUGAAAUUCUUGGAUCGUCGCAAGACGAACUACUGCGAAAGCAUUUGCCAAGAAUGUUUUCAUUAAUCAAGGACGAUAGUUAGAGGUUCGAAGGCGAUCAGAUACCCGCCCUAGUUCUAACCGUAAACGAUGUCAACCAGCGAUCCGSAGGAGUUAUUCAUGACUCUGCGGGCAGCUUCCGGGAAACCAAAGUUUUUGGAUUCCGGGGGGAGUAUGGUUGCAAAGCUGAAACUUAAAGGAAUUGACGGAAGGGCACCACCAGGAGUGGAGCCUGCGGCUUAAUUUGACUCAACGCGGGGAAACUCACCCGGCCCGGACACCGUAAGGAUUGACAGAUUGAGAGCUCUUUCUUGAUUCGGUGGGUGGUGGUGCAUGGCCGUUCUUAGUUGGUGGAGCGAUUUGUCUGGUUAAUUCCGAUAACGAACGAGACUCUAGCCUACUAAAUAGAAGGCAAAUUAUUCGUUUGCUGUACUUCUUAGAGGGACUAGGGGCGUCUAGCCUCACGAGAUUGAGCAAUAACAGGUCUGUGAUGCCCUUAGAUGUCCGGGGCCGCACGCGCGCUACACUGAAGGAUUCAGCAAGUGUUAACCCUGGUCUGAGAAGAUCGGGUAACCUAAUGAAACUCCUUCGUGAUUGGGAUAGGGACUUGUAAUUAUUUCCCUUGAACGAGGAAUUCCUAGUAAGUGUGGGUCAUCAUCUCGCGUUGAUUACGUCCCUGCCCUUUGUACACACCGCCCGUCGCUACUAUCGAGUGAUGAGUUAUCCAGAUUCUCGGACUGGCUCCUUGGCGGCUUCACGGCUGCCAUCGUGGUUUGGAAAGAGAUUCUAGAUCACUUAUCGCAAGAAAGU